GAUGAACGCUGGCGGCGUGCCUAAUACAUGCAAGUCGAGCGAACAGACGAGGAGCUUGCUCCUCUGACGUUAGCGGCGGACGGGUGAGUAACACGUGGAUAACCUACCUAUAAGACUGGGAUAACUUCGGGAAACCGGAGCUAAUACCGGAUAAUAUAUUGAACCGCAUGGUUCAAUAGUGAAAGACGGUUUUGCUGUCACUUAUAGAUGGAUCCGCGCCGCAUUAGCUAGUUGGUAAGGUAACGGCUUACCAAGGCAACGAUGCGUAGCCGACCUGAGAGGGUGAUCGGCCACACUGGGACUGAGACACGGUCCAGACUCCUACGGGAGGCAGCAGUAGGGAAUCUUCCGCAAUGGGCGAAAGCCUGACGGAGCAACGCCGCGUGAGUGAUGAAGGUCUUCGGAUCGUAAAACUCUGUUAUUAGGGAAGAACAUAUGUGUAAGUAACUAUGCACGUCUUGACGGUACCUAAUCAGAAAGCCACGGCUAACUACGUG
Molecule: ribosomal RNA, 497 nt
Filed under: uncultured bacterium
Lineage: Bacteria
Description: partial 16S ribosomal RNA
Rfam family: Bacterial small subunit ribosomal RNA
Source: RNAcentral